UACGGAGGGUGCAAGCGUUAUCCGGAUUUACUGGGUUUAAAGGGUGCGUAGGUGGGUCUGUAAGUCAGUGGUGAAAUCUCCGGGCUUAACCCGGAAACUGCCAUUGAUACUAUAGGUCUUGAAUAUCCUGGAGGUGAGCGGAAUAUGUCAUGUAGCGGUGAAAUGCUUAGAUAUGACAUAGAACACCAAUUGCGAAGGCAGCUCACUAAGCAAAUAUUGACGCUGAGGCACGAAAGCGUGGGGAUCAAACAGG
Molecule: ribosomal RNA, 253 nt
Filed under: uncultured bacterium
Lineage: Bacteria
Description: partial 16S ribosomal RNA
Rfam family: Bacterial small subunit ribosomal RNA
Source: RNAcentral